UGGUCGGUGAGCUGCGGGCAGAUGAAGUGCACGUGACAGUCGAUGCCACCGGCGGUGAGGAUCUUUCCGUUGCCCGCAAGGACUUCCGUGGACGGCCCGAUCACGAGGGCCGGGUCGACGCCGUCCAUCACAUCCGGGUUGCCUGCCUUGCCGAUGCCGACGAUCUUGCCGUCCCGCACGCCGACGUCGGCCUUGACGACGCCCCAAUGAUCGAGGAUCACCACACCGGUGAUCACCAGGUCCGGUGCGCCGUCCGCGCGCGUGGCCAUGCCCUGGCCCAUCGACUCCCGGAUCA
Molecule: small RNA, 295 nt
Filed under: Kibdelosporangium aridum
Lineage: Bacteria; Bacillati; Actinomycetota; Actinomycetes; Pseudonocardiales; Pseudonocardiaceae
Description: 5' ureB small RNA
Rfam family: 5' ureB small RNA
Source: Rfam by way of RNAcentral